Molecule: long non-coding RNA, 2418 nt
Filed under: Medicago truncatula (barrel medic)
Lineage: Eukaryota; Viridiplantae; Streptophyta; Magnoliopsida; Fabales; Fabaceae
Description: lncRNA gene41594
Source: RNAcentral
CUUUCUCUACACAUUACUUAAUGUCUCAAAACAACUUAAGGAGGUGCAUCACCAAAUUAUAUACAAGCUAAGAGAGUUUUCUCUUCUUGGUGAUGAUCUCCUAUAUAUAACUCAUCAAAGAGAAUUAAUUCCAUUACAAGUUGAGAAAGAUUUACACAUGUACUUUCUCUCAUAUUUUCCAUUUAACAAAUUACACAAGCAUUUGGAUUCUCUUCCAUACUUUGAACAUAGUAAUAUGUGGUCAUGUGGGGAUUAUAUGCCCUAUAAGCCUUCACCAUCUCUAAAACAGGAUCAGGUGCUGGCUCUUUCUUUUUCUCCUCUUCUUUCUUUUCCCCUUCUUCUUUCUUCUCUUCCUUUUUCUCUUCUUCUUUCUUUGGUUCUUCCUUCUUUUCCCCUUCUUUCUUCUCUUCUUCCUUCUUUGCUUCUUCUUUCUUUUCUUCUUCUUUCUUUGGUUCUUCUUUCUUUGGCUCUUCUUUCUUCUCUGGCUCCUUUGCUGGUCCUACUGAGAUUAUAUCUGCUUGCCAAUAUUUUCGAAGUUUGCUCACAAUUUUUACCGGAUCCACGGUUCCUACCACGGUUAAUUUCUUCUCCUUCAUGUCCAUGGUGAUGGCAUCAAUCCCUACAUAUCGUUGCACAAGUUGAACUUAAGUUAUAAAAUCAUCUACGAAAAGUGCAUGUUUGUAAUGAGUUUAGCAUAAUCACGAUGUAUGACCUUAAUUUUGAUUUGAAGAAAAGUAUCUUCAAUGUUUAAACAAAAAUACAAUGUUACCAUGAUUUCAUCGAACCACCAUUGUUCUAAACAUGCACUAAAACGUCAAAUUUUACAGAGACAAAAUAGAUUUGUUGUGGUCAAAUAUUUCUUAGUCACCAAUCUCAUCUUUAUCCAAGAGUUGAGUAUAGUGACAAUAUAAAUUUCUUAUUGUGCACACAAGAACUUAAUUCAAAGCUGAUUUAUUAAAAGUUGACCAAUUAAAAAAGGUGUCACAUUAAGUGAACUUAAUUCAAAGUUGACAAAGCAAAAAGUUUAAAGCAGAAUAUAUGGAAUAUUUGGUCAGCAUUUUCAUUGAAUUGGAUCUUGUGUCCAAAUUAUUUUAAAUACAUCAAAUACACCUUCAGAUCACUAUUAUAAACAAAAAUUUACAUUUUAGGUUCCUCAAUUAAUGAAUCUAAAAUGUUAUUUUUGUUUAUAAAAGUGACCAAAGUAUAUGUAUAUUCCAAAUAAAUUCGCAACUCAAUUUACUUGAGUUUGUUUUUGACAAGAACUUAAUUUACUUGAUCAUAAAUCAUCCUUACUCCUCAGUGAAGUCCUUGCAAGAUUUAUUUAAUAGUGUAACAAAAUAUUACAAGCACUAUACGACAGACAGACAGCACAGAAUUUUUCAUCAAAAAUGGAAAAUAAAAUAGACAGCAUAGAGUUUUAUUUAUCCAGAUUAUGUGAAUCAAAUACAUAAUAGUCUAAAUGCUGACUACUGGUGUCAAUUCUUGCUAUAAAUGCACCUAUAUAUGAAAUACAUGAAAGUGGAUGCAUCAUACAUGUUCCUUUCAAAUCACGAAAACUCAUUUCAUAACAUUUUAUUAUAACCACUGGACAAUUGUUAUUUUAUGACGUACUAACUGAUAAGGUCGUUGUCAAUUUUAGUAAAAAAAGUUACUAUAUAUAAUACCAAAAGUAAAACGCAAUUAGCAUAUUUCCUCUACAAAAAAGUUACUAUAAUACCAAAAAUAAUUAUAUGUUUUUUUUACUCCUCUAAAAAAAAUUAUUUUUUUACUUUUAAAAUAAUUAUAUUUGUAUUAUCAAAGACACUGUAUAUUCAACAAGUAUGAAUGCCAUAAUUUUUAUGAUGAACUAUGAUAUAUAUAAAAAAUAUAUUAAAAUAAUAUUUUGUAUGAUAAUAAAAUGUAAAGCCUACUUAGAGAAUAGAGUGUCAAAGUUUGUCGAGUCUAGCGGAAUGAGUUAGUCGCUCAUAACGUGAUGAAUUAACAUUCAAAUAUGAGUUGCAAGAAGUAUUUACAUUUAAUCUUUGAUUUUGUUUUGAAUAUAAUUACUUUUAGCAGAGAGAAUCCAUCUAUUAAAACAAAAAGAAGAGAAUUAUGCAAAAUAAAAAUAAAAAUAGAGUCCUAACUUGAUUAAAAAACAAUAUAGUUUGCAUUGUAGAUCAAAUGUCACGUGUCAAUGAAUGAUAUUGGAGGUUUUGUCACCUACCACUAACGGGUUACCCAUCAAUUUAUUCUCCUACAACCAGAUCUCAAAAUUUUAUAACAUUCCCUUGAUUUGUAUAUUCUUAAAAAAAUCAUUAAUUAGGUGUCACAACUAUUAUAUUGUUGAACAAUUAUUUGGUACCUGAAAGUGUUGAGACUGUCUUCAAGGCCUUCUGCUUUGCCUUAUCAUCUUCCAAAUCUAAUUUGAGCACAAACUUC